RNAcentral lists this small nuclear RNA (101 nucleotides) under Jaculus jaculus (lesser Egyptian jerboa). The record is from RNAcentral. Lineage: Eukaryota; Metazoa; Chordata; Mammalia; Rodentia; Dipodidae.
UUAGGCAGCCUAUGUACAACACAAUUAGAACUAUCCACAGAGGAUUAGCAUGACCCCUAUGCAGGGACAACACAUAAGUUUGUGAAGUGUUCCAUAUUUAA